Molecule: ribosomal RNA, 524 nt
Filed under: uncultured bacterium
Lineage: Bacteria
Description: bacterial SSU rRNA
Rfam family: Bacterial small subunit ribosomal RNA
Source: RNAcentral
UGGGUGAGUAACACGUGGGUAACCUGCCCUAAAGUCUGGGAUACCACUUGGAAACAGGUGCUAAUACCGGAUAACAACAAUAGCUGCAUGGCUAUUGCUUAAAAGGCGGCGAAAGCUGUCGCUAAAGGAUGGACCCGCGGUGCAUUAGCUAGUUGGUAAGGUAAUGGCUUACCAAGGCGACGAUGCAUAGCCGAGUUGAGAGACUGAUCGGCCACAUUGGGACUGAGACACGGCCCAAACUCCUACGGGAGGCAGCAGUAGGGAAUCUUCCACAAUGGGCGAAAGCCUGAUGGAGCAACGCCGCGUGAGUGAAGAAGGUUUUCGGAUCGUAAAGCUCUGUUGUUGGUGAAGAAGGAUAGAGGUAGUAACUGGCCCCUAUUUGACGGUAAUCAACCAGAAAGUCACGGCUAACUACGUGCCAGCAGCCGCGGUAAUACGUAGGUGGCAAGCGUUGUCCGGAUUUAUUGGGCGCAAAGCGAGCGCAGGCGGAAAGAUAACUCUGAUGUGAAAGCCCCCGGCUUAAC